AGGCAAUUAACAUGCGAAGAUGAGGUGUUCCAGGUGUAAAAAGUUUGUUAAAAAUACUGCAAAGUUCUGCAGUGAGUGUGGACAACGCCUCACUACCCAACCUGUGAACCAGACAAAUGUUGCAGAGGGGGAUUCUCUCUCAAAUACCUCAGAAUCAGAGCCUUCUCUGCCCUUGGAUGGCCUUGAGUCUAAUGACUCCCCCCAACAGCUUGUCUAUUCGGGGGAAGGCGCCACUGGGGACAUCACGAAGCAAGUAUGUACAUGUUUUUUUCAUUUAAUAUGUAUUUGCAUUAUCAGUUUGCAUUUAUUCCAUAUCGCUCUUAUGUUUAGUAGUCAUUAUAGUCCCCAUGUAUGGUCUGGUAAUGGUCUGAAAUAGUCCUGUGUAUAUAUUAGGGAUGCAGUUAAUGAUUUUUAAAGGUCCCAUGACAUGCUACUUUAUGGUUGCUUUAAUAUACCGUAUUUUCCGCACUAUAAGGCGCACCGGAGUAUAAGCCUCAGCAGCUGAAUUGAAUGAUGUGUACAUAUAUAAGCCGCGCUGGAGCCCACCGCUUAAAGGUGGGGGGGCGUGGACCGGUCGUAGAGCCCAUAGAGUUAAAGUUGGUGGACUGUAACCUGUAAAGGUCCCCUAUUGGCCGUUAGCUCUAAAAAUCCAUAGAUUACUCCGCACUGUUAUAUAAGCCGCAGAAUCGACAAAUAGGAAAAAAGGCGCGGCUUAUAGUCCGAAAAUUACGGUAGAUAUUAGUAGGCCCCAAACACAGUAUUUGAAGAGGUUCCAGAAAUUCAGCCAUGGUGCAGAAUUACAGCCACUACGAGCCAGUCACACAUUGAGCUUUCCCCAAAUGCGACGUUUCGAUGUCUGUAGAUUUAAUGCAAAUGAGGAGGAGAGAGGCGGGUCAAGGAGGUGGUUGGGGGUGUGGCCCUGAGCAGCUUGCAGCCACGGUACCAUGCGCUCUGUUUACAGUGGAUGUAUCGCAGUGGUGAGGCGCACACAGUCCUGGAGCUCUAUAUCUAAAUAAUAUCAUAUAAUGCAUAUUAUCACGGCCAAAAGCUGUGUGUGCCUCCAUACGAUAUUAUGAAUCUCAAACGACUUCGUCGGGUUCUCCGACGUCUCUGGUUCUUCCACUUCCACAUCAAUCUGAAGUAGGCUGAACCGCUCGUUGCCUGCUGCCGGCUGCCCGCUGACGGGCGGUGGUGCUUCGCGGCGGUGGUGACUGGCGGCAACCGGCGGCAGGCAGCAUGUCGCACUUCAUGUACUUCAGGGAGUCAAAGCCAAAGUUCCUUUCCCCCAAUUCCUUCUCACCCAUGGCUGAGAUAACCCCAACUACAGUCUCGUUGUGGAAAUACAAGAGACAUCAAAGAACCAACGUUUUAUGCCCCAUAACACCAACAGCAAAAACUUGCGUUACAGUGCGUGUAAUCACACACACACGCACAUGUGGCGCUCGCAAGGUCGGGUCUCAUUGGCGGGCCAGAUUCUCUGGGCGGGCAAGGCAGAGAAAGGGGAGGAGCUUAGAUCCUUUAUGAAGACAUAUGGGACCACAUUCCAAAUCGGCGCGCUUGAGCCUCCGUUUUUUUCAAAGGCGAGCAGAACACCUAUUGCUCGUUUUACAGGCAGGCUAGGGGAAUUCAUAUUUAUGUUAGAAAACGUCAUAAAGUGAGAUUUUCAUGCCAUGGGACCUUUAAUAUGCUACAGAUUAUUCCAUUGAGUAGUCAUGUAAGAAAUGUUCUGGCUUCAUUAAAGAGCAAUAUUCCUUGCGCAAAAUGUAGCUUCUUUCAGCUAGAAAUUAUCUCUAAGCCGUCAAGUCCAGGCUUCUCCAGGUCACAUGUACACAGCGUAAGCGCUUUGUGCAACUAUAAUAAUCAUUUGUGUGAAACAACAAAGUGCGCUGCUUAUAUUUAUGGAUUAAAUUAGGCUCUGAUGCGAAGAAUAUGAAUGAUUUACAGUUAUAGAGUUUCUCAAGGAAUCAUUAACUAGUGUGUGUGUAAUGUGUGUGUGUAUAUAUAUAUAUAUAUAUAUAUAUAUAUUAGUGCAGUCAAGCGAUUAAAAUAUUUAAUCGCAUUAAUGUCAUAGUUAACUCACGAUAAAAAGUGUUCUAUGCUAAAUAUCCCUUGAUUUCUUUGUUCCAUUAAUUUUUCUCAUUUGAAUGCUCUUAUCAACAUGGAGAAGUGCAUCGGCUUGCCUUGUGCAAAUGUUUUUUUAUUGAUAACAACAUUGGCAUACACUGAUCAAACAGGACGAUAAAAAAUAAAUGCCUAUAGUGCAAUUAAACGAUGAACAUACAAACAUACUGCCUUGAACAUAGCAGUCAGGCUAAUGCUUCUUUGUUUUGAGCCAAAGAGAAAAACGCGUUUGCGUUAACGCCGUUAAUAACGCUGACAGCACUAAUAUUUAUAUAUGUGUAUAUAUAUAUACAUAUAUAUAGUCCCAUAUGUGUUAUUGUGAGUGUAUGCAUGCUAAAGUUAUGUUACAUGCUGUUCUUGAUAGAAAAAGAAGAAGAAAAGGGGCA
Long non-coding RNA from Gadus morhua (Atlantic cod), 2507 nucleotides. The record is from Ensembl. Lineage: Eukaryota; Metazoa; Chordata; Actinopteri; Gadiformes; Gadidae.